UACGGGGGGAGCAAGCGUUGUUCGGAUUUACUGGGCGUAAAGCGCGCGUAGGCGGCUUUGCAAGUCGGGUGUGAAAUCCCCAGGCUUAACCUGGGAACUGCAUUCGAGACUGCAUUGCUAGAGUAUGGGAGAGGGAAGUGGAAUUUCCGGCGUAGCGGUGAAAUGCGUAGAUAUCGGAAGGAACAUCAGUGGCGAAAGCGACUUCCUGGACCAAUACUGACGCUCAUGUGCGAAAGCGUGGGGAGCAAACAGG
RNAcentral lists this ribosomal RNA (253 nucleotides) under uncultured bacterium. RNAcentral's name for it is "partial 16S ribosomal RNA". It matches the Rfam family "Bacterial small subunit ribosomal RNA", at positions 524 to 776 of the family's 1533-position model. The record is from RNAcentral.